Molecule: ribosomal RNA, 252 nt
Filed under: uncultured bacterium
Lineage: Bacteria
Description: partial 16S ribosomal RNA
Rfam family: Bacterial small subunit ribosomal RNA
Source: RNAcentral
UACGGAGGAUGCGAGCGUUAUCCGGAUUUAUUGGGUUUAAAGGGUGCGCAGGCGGAAUGUCAAGUCAGCGGUAAAAUUUCGGGGCUCAACCCCGUCGUGCCGUUGAAACUGGCGUUCUUGAGUGAGCGAGAAGUAUGCGGAAUGCGUGGUGUAGCGGUGAAAUGCAUAGAUAUCGAGAGGAACACUCGUGGCGAAGGCGGGUUCCUGGACAUUAACUGACGCUGAGGCACGAAGGCCAGGGGAGCGAAAGGG